GGGCUUCUGACUGCUUAUUGCACCACAUGUGUUUUUUAUUGAACAAAUUUCUUUGGUGGCGGGAGCAAUCCUACCGCCAGAGGUUAUAACUAAACCAAACUUUUUAUUUACAGUCAAACUUGAUUUAUUAUUACAAUAGUCAAAACUUUCAACAACGGAUCUCUUGGUUCUCGCAUCGAUGAAGAACGCAGCGAAAUGCGAUACGUAAUAUGAAUUGCAGAUAUUCGUGAAUCAUCGAAUCUUUGAACGCACAUUGCGCCCUUUGGUAUUCCAAAGGGCAUGCCUGUUUGAGCGUCAUUUCUCCCUCAAACCCCCGGGUUUGGUGUUGAGCAAUACGCUAGGUUUGUUUGAAAGAAUUUACGUGGAAACUUAUUUUAAGCGACUUAAGUUUAUCCAAAACGCUUAUUUUGCUAGUGGCCACCACAAUUUAUUUCAUAACUUUGACCUCAAAUCAGGGAGGACUACCCGCUGAACUUAAGCAUAUCAAAAAGCGGGAGGGAA
This 501-nucleotide ribosomal RNA is filed under the name Candida tropicalis. RNAcentral describes it as "eukaryotic LSU rRNA". The stretch from base 144 to 297 matches the Rfam family "5.8S ribosomal RNA". The record is from RNAcentral. Lineage: Eukaryota; Fungi; Ascomycota; Pichiomycetes; Serinales; Debaryomycetaceae.